AUUGAACGCUGGCGGCAUGCCUUACACAUGCAAGUCGAACGGCAGCACGGGGGCAACCCUGGUGGCGAGUGGCGAACGGGUGAGUAACAUAUCGGAACAUACCCUAGAGUGGGGGAUAACGUAGCGAAAGUUACGCUAAUACCGCAUGCGAUCUAAGGAUGAAAGUGGGGGAUCUUCGGACCUCAUGCUCAUGGAGUGGCCGAUAUCUGAUUAGCUAGUUGGUGAGGUAAAGGCUCACCAAGGCGACGAUCAGUAGCUGGUUUGAGAGAACGACCAGCCACACUGGAACUGAGACACGGUCCAGACUCCUACGGGAGGCAGCAGUGGGGAAUUUUUGGGACAAUGGGGGCAACCCUGAUCCAGCAAUGCCGCGUGAGUGAAGAAGGCC
This 388-nucleotide ribosomal RNA is filed under the name uncultured bacterium. Its description in RNAcentral is "bacterial SSU rRNA". It matches the Rfam family "Bacterial small subunit ribosomal RNA", at positions 30 to 416 of the family's 1533-position model. The record is from RNAcentral.